CCUACGGGUGGCAGCAGUGAGGAAUAUUGGUCAAUGGGCGCGAGCCUGAACCAGCGAAGUAGCGUGAGGGAUGACUGACCUACGGGUUGUAAACUUCUUUUAUAAGCGAGAAAUAUGAUGGUAACUUAUGAAUAAGGAUCGCCUAACUACGUGCAAGCAGCCGCGGUCAUACGUAGGAUCCGAGCAUUAUCCGGGGUGACGGGGUGUAAAGAGUGGCGUAGGUGGGAGAAUAAGUAGCUAGUGAAAGCUGGUGGCUCAACCAUUCAGACUAUUAGCUAAACUGUUAAGCUCGAGACCGUUAGGGGUAACUGGAAUUUCUAGGGUAGGAGUGAAAUCCGGAGAUAUUAGAAGGAACACCAAGAGCGUAGGCAGGUUACUGGGACGGUUCUGACACUAAGGCACGAAAGCGGAGGGAGCAAACGAGAUUAGGUACCCCAGGAGUC
Molecule: ribosomal RNA, 443 nt
Filed under: uncultured bacterium
Lineage: Bacteria
Description: partial 16S ribosomal RNA
Rfam family: Bacterial small subunit ribosomal RNA
Source: RNAcentral